Molecule: long non-coding RNA, 1648 nt
Organism: Apis cerana (Asiatic honeybee)
Lineage: Eukaryota; Metazoa; Arthropoda; Insecta; Hymenoptera; Apidae
Source: RefSeq, a predicted model, not a curated record
UCUAAUUGUAAAAUACACGAAUAAAAAUUAUAUUCGAUAUUCAAAUAUAUUUUUUGUAUCUUGAUAUAACAAUAUAUACGAUUUAUUCUGCAUAUAUUUUUCAAUAAUAUAUUAUUGUCAUUGCUCGGUGCUUAAUGGAUUAAAAUGCCUAAUGGAUUUAUAUUAAGAUUAUUAAAACAUAAUAUUUUCAAGCCGGGUCGAGGUCAAAAUUGUUCGGGUUAGAUCGGAUCGAAUCGGGCUUCUCCGAAGUAUCUCACGACGCAUGAACGAGAUUUCGAGAAUCCGAAUCAUAUAUCGAGCCGAAUUUUGUUGAAUUCAAUCAUGAAUUUAAAGUGUUUAGAAACUGAGUGAAAGCUAAAUAAAGAGAUCUCGGAAAUUCAGUGUCUUAAAUCUCGAGAUAUUUUCGAAAAUCCGAUUCGAUCCAAUUUGAAUCGAACAAUUCUGAUUCUACUAUUCGAAACUUUUUCAUGACAUGUUGACAAUUCAUUUAUUAAUUCUAUAGUAGUUUUACUACUUAAGCAUUGCGAUUUCGUUUCAAUAAUUAACAUACAAUUAGUUUAACAUAACAAUUAGUUUUCGAUAUCGUUUACAAAUUGCUUGAAAUUAGUUCAAUCAGGAAAGUUGCAGUUAACCUCUUUUAUUUUUAAAACAUUCUAUUAUGAAUAUAUAUAUAAUAUAUAUAAUAUAACCAGAAUAUGAGAAUUGCAAAUUUAAUUCUAUUUUUAUUACUGUGACAAGUGUCUGUUUACAUUAUUGCAAAUAGAAAUAAUGCACAAUUUAGAUUGAUGAAAUAUUAUUAUAAUUUGGAUAAUUCUAGUAUAGAGAUUCUACUAUAUCAUAUAUUUUUACUAAAAUUAUUUUCUUCAAUAGAUAUUAUUUGUAAAAUGAUUUAAUAUGAUGAAAUCAUUUAAAAAGAUUUAGAAUAGUUAUCUAUAUAGUUACCUUAUAUAAUUAUCUUAAUAUGAAUAUUAUAUAUUAAAACCGUAAAAUUUAUUCAGUGACGAUUAGAAUGCAAGGAGACAAGCAACGGUUGAAUGUAUAAGCAGGCUGAGACAAGGGCUAGAAUGACGGAUUUCGUUAAAUAAUUAAUUCGUUAAAUGAUUAAUCACCAUCCGACCAGCCAAACCGUCUGACUUAACCUGUCUAAUUCCAUUAUGAAUUAUUCAUCGCGUCGAUAUAACUUUCGAGUUAACUUCGAUCGUAACGGAAGACGCUCCAUGUGCCCUAUAAAAUAACGUUUCCACGCUUUUCUGCGAAAUUUACAUGUUAAAAUUGGAAUCUGUUACAUUUACUCGAUUAAAUCGAAGAGAUGAUCGAUUUUUCUCGAUAAACUCAUUUUCUAUUGAAAAAAAAAGGUGAUACGCUCUGUACGAUUUCUCACGAGUCCAAUUUAUUUUUCCUAUUUAGCGCCAUCCGAUGGAAAUCUGUUCUGAGGAAAACGCAAUUACAGAUUGUAAAUAGAUCCUUGACAUCGUGAAAUGUUUUGACAUGGAAGGUUCUCUGAAAACUAAAGAUUCUUUUAAUUUGAAGAAAAUCAGAAAUAAUAUUUAAUAAUUAUUUUAUACAUAAUAAAAUAUAUAAGUAAUCAAUUUUUUUAUGAUAAUUUUUGUAAUUUCAUUGCCAAUUUAUUAAAGAUUAUUCAAAAUUA